Mycena alexandri is the source of this 96-nucleotide non-coding RNA. NCBI's taxonomy places the organism in Eukaryota, Fungi, Basidiomycota, Agaricomycetes, Agaricales, Mycenaceae. The record is from the annotation of a GenBank genome assembly.
GUGGGUGUGGUGUAUGCUACACAGCUGCCCUUCCUGGUCGGCGGAGAUUAUGAAAGUUGUAGACAGCAGAACCGGGUUCGAUUCCCGGCACCCACA